RNAcentral lists this ribosomal RNA (625 nucleotides) under uncultured bacterium. RNAcentral's name for it is "bacterial SSU rRNA". The stretch from base 1 to 542 matches the Rfam family "Bacterial small subunit ribosomal RNA", at positions 338 to 873 of the family's 1533-position model. The record is from RNAcentral.
CCUACGGGAGGCAGCAGUGGGGAAUUUUGGACAAUGGGCGCAAGCCUGAUCCAGCAAUGCCGCGUGAGUGAAGAAGGCCUUCGGGUUGUAAAGCUCUUUUGUCAGGGAAGAAACGGUGGGGGCUAAUAUCUCCUACUAAUGACGGUACCUGAAGAAUAAGCACCGGCUAACUACGUGCCAGCAGCCGCGGUAAUACGUAGGGUGCAAGCGUUAAUCGGAAUUACUGGGCGUAAAGCGUGCGCAGGCGGUUUUGUAAGUCUGUCGUGAAAGCCCCGGGCUCAACCUGGGAAUUGCGAUGGAGACUGCAAGGCUUGAAUCUGGCAGAGGGGGGUAGAAUUCCACGUGUAGCAGUGAAAUGCGUAGAGAUGUGGAGGAACACCGAUGGCGAAGGCAGCCCCCUGGGUCAAGAUUGACGCUCAUGCACGAAAGCGUGGGGAGCAAACAGGAUUAGAUACCCUGGUAGUCCACGCCCUAAACGAUGUCUACUAGUUGUCGGGUUUUAAUUAACUUGGUAACGCAGCUAACGCGUGAAGUAGACCGCCUGGGGAGUACGGUCGCGAAGAGUAAACGUUACAAUAGUUAGUUAGUAGGCGNGNGAGNGCGACGGACGACGACGAGGGAGAGG